Cataglyphis hispanica is the source of this 3375-nucleotide RNA transcript. It is a transcript of the gene named P protein, with no coding region annotated. The record is from RefSeq and is a predicted model, not a curated record. Lineage: Eukaryota; Metazoa; Arthropoda; Insecta; Hymenoptera; Formicidae. The transcript has 17 exons.
AAAAUAUUUAUGAAUUCGAUGAUUCUAUUUCCAUAUGAAAUAAAUAUAAACAAUAGAUAGAAUGACCUCUAUAAAGAUUUCACGGAUAAAGUUUUGUCUGCAGUAGGAGAUACAAUCACAAUGUGUUCGGUUCUUCAGCAUAGAUAAAAUGCCCGCGUUUAAUGAAACUAGUGUCUCUCUUCAAUUAAAAAGUUACAAACAUUAAAGGACAAUAACGAGAGAUUUCAAAUAAACAGUCGUAAUGUCGCGACAAAACGAUAUGAGUGACGAUGAAACGGAUCUGCAAACACCUCGGGUGUUCCUCAAGACCGGUUCAGGACAAAUCCCUCACUGCAGCUGUAACAACUCAGUUAUACGCAGUCCAAUCAGUCCUAGCUCGUCUGUCUCGAGUUCCAUGAUAUUCGGACAGAUCUCCGACGAUGUUCUUCGCGCUUGGAGUCAAUUGCCGGAGGCGAUCCGUCUGGAUCCCAGAUUGGCGGUUUUCCAGAAAGAAUGCGAUCGGAUAGCAGAAGCGAAAUCUAUGGAUUGCGUGAAGAGGGACUGCCUGGUUGUGAAUAUGUGCCCGCAUUUCGUGCAGCAAACUAACAUUCAAAGUCAAAUUCAAGCAACUCAGAGCAAUGCCGAGGAGGAUGGGCAAGAUAUGCACACGCAGGAGAAGCAGAAGCCGUUUUACCGCUACUCGAAAUUAAUCGCGCUUUCCUGCUGUUGGCUACUAUUUACAAUAACACUCAUGUUUAACGGCGAGAAGAUCGAGAUGAUGCAUCGGUUUUCCAUUCCUAACGGACAAACUUCAGAUUAUCAAAUCGGCGAACCUAUUACGAGCAAGUUGAUUAGCGUAACGAUAAAAGGAUCAUUGCUGCCCUUAAGGAAAACCGAGCUGCAUGCGAAUUUAUCCACGCAUUAUUUAAUGAUAUGGUUAGAACUUCUUACAGAGAAUACGUCUUACAUCGAUUCGAAGAACGUAAGCGAUGUGUGGACUUUGCCGCUAUUGCCUGAAAACUUAAUGGACAUCUUUCCCGAACAGAGGCAGGAAAGAACUUUUGAAAUAAACGUCAACAGCGAGGCACUGUCGCGCGGCGUAAUGUUUAUUAAAUUUCGUACAAAUUCAGAGUCGAAACAUUCGUUUUCUUCAGCUUACACUCUGUCACCGAUGAGUGCCAACGCCGGUAUAAUAUACGCCGCUUUCAUUUUAAUUGGCCUCUACAUCAUGAUCAUUUUCGAGGUUGUCCAUAGAACUUUGGCUGCCAUUUUAGCGUCCACGACGUCUAUCGCGAUACUGGCGAUUUUAAACGAGCGACCAAGUAUGGGUGAGUUAAUGUCUUGGAUAGAUAUGGAUACGCUACUGCUAUUGUUCUCCAUGAUGGUGCUGGUAGCCAUUAUCGCCGAAACCGGCAUAUUCGAUUGGCUAGCAGUCUACGCUUACAAGAUAACCGCCGGUAGAUUGUGGCCGUUGAUUAUGGCCCUAUGCUUCUUUACUGCCCUUCUGUCAUCAAUACUGGACAACGUGACGACUGUGCUGUUAAUGACACCGGUAACUAUCCGACUGUGCGAGGUAAUGGAGUUGAAUCCGGUCCCGAUCUUGACCGCUAUGGUGGUUUACUCUAAUAUUGGAGGCGCGAUGACGCCUGUUGGCGAUCCGCCAAAUGUUAUCAUCGCUUCCAAUAGAGACGUCAAAAAUGCUGAUAUCGACUUUGGCACCUUCUCAUUGCAUAUGAGUAUCGGGGUGAUAUUGGUGUUGAUCGUGGUUUCCGCGCAAAUUCGUUACAUUUUCCGAGACAUCGCGGUCCUCAGAUUCAACGAGCCACAGGAUGUACAGGAUCUGAGACACAUGAUCGCCAUUUGGCAACGAGCGGCAGCGAGUCUGUCCAGUUACAGCAGGGACGAGAAUCUGGUGAGGGAAACAUUGUUGAAGAAAGUGCAGCGUUUAUUGUCACAGCUAAAGAAGAAGCUGAUAACAGGCAGUGCAGCGUUAGAAAAGUACAAGACUACGCUCGAAGAAUUACAGGAAAAGUAUCCCAUCAGGGAUAAAUGGUUGCUGGCAAAGUCGGGAUUCGUGUUGUCUUUCGUGAUCACACUCUUCUUUCUACACAGCGUGCCUGAUUUGCAUUUGUCUCUAGGCUGGAUUGCCUUGAUUGGCGUGACGCUGCUCUUGAUAUUGGCCGAUAGCGAGGAUUUCGACGGUCUCAUGGCGCGCGUCGAAUGGAGUACGUUGUUAUUCUUCGCAUCGCUGUUUAUCCUUAUGGAGGCUCUCUCGCGUUUGGGUCUCAUCACCUGGAUCGGCAAACAAACCGAGAAUUUUAUUUUAUCGGUUAACGAAGAGUCCCGAUUAGCGGUUGCGAUACUGUUGUUGCUCUGGGUAUCGGCUUUAGCGAGCUCCUUAGUCGACAAUGUACCACUCGCUACCAUGAUGGUGAGAAUCGCGUCGAAUCUCGCGCAAAAUCGCGAGCUCAGUUUGCCUAUGCAACCCUUGGUAUGGGCAUUAACAUUUGGCGCUUGUAUGGGAGUUUGUUUAAAGGAAAUGGAACUUUGAUUGGAGCUUCUUCCAAUGUUGUUUGCAUGGGUGUCGCGGAACAGCACGGCUACAGAUUUAGUUUCAUGCAAUUCUUCAAAGUAGGAUUUCCCAUCAUGAUAACAAGUACCAUAACAAUAACAGUAUAUUUAAUGAUUGCUCACGUAGUCUUCGGCUGGAAUGGAAAGUAAAUGUAAUAAAGAAUUAUAUGAGAAAUUUGUUUGAUAUACAAGAAACGAUAUACUUGUAUCAUAUAUUUGUAAAAAUGUUUAUCAUAUAAUCUCUUAAGAGCAAAUUAAUAUAAUUACGUAACAUUAUCAAAUAUUAUCAAUAAUUAUGAUAAGUUUCGAUAAACAGAGUUGUUCACUUAUAACGCGACAUAAUAUCUCAAAAAUCUGUGUAUUAAUAUAUAUUAUUUUAAUAGUUUUUUUACUUCAUAUUUAUUAUAAUUUAAAUAUGUAUAUAUUUUUUAUGAUUCUAAACACAAUAGAAUUUGUGUAAGAAGAUUGUAAAAAACAGAAAUUGAUAAAGUUCUGUGAUGUAAAAAAUCAGACAUAUAAUAUAUAAUGGUUAUUUUAUAUACAUAUAUGUCUCAUCUGCAAUAAAUAUUAUUCUUUAAUUGUUUAUCUUGAUACGAAACGUGUUUACUUUAAAAUAAUAAUAUUAUAGAUAACAAUGUGUAAAUAUAAAUGAAUUGUAAUUGGCAAAUAUUAAUUGUAAAAAGGUUUAAUGAUCACACAUGAAAUACAUUUAUAUAUACUAGACAAUUCGUUGAAAUACUUUUAUUAAAAAAGAGGCUCUCCGGAAAAAAAAAUAUCCAAAGCUUGUCAUAUCGCCAACUUCUUCAAAAUCGAAUAAUUUGAAUA